Molecule: ribosomal RNA, 498 nt
Filed under: Triticum aestivum (bread wheat)
Lineage: Eukaryota; Viridiplantae; Streptophyta; Magnoliopsida; Poales; Poaceae
Description: partial small subunit ribosomal RNA
Source: RNAcentral
AUGGGGCAGCCAUGGGGCAACCUGUGCGAUUUCGGGAUGCGACGGCGGCACGGCAGCAGCGUAGGAAGCAACGUCAUAGUUCGGUGCCGAUGCAGAUACUUUAGAGGAACCAGCGCCAUGGGCCAGCCGGAACUGUUGGGUACCAGGGGCCAGCAACAGCGGCUGGGCGAAGCCAGAUGCAGGUUGCCAACUCAUCCAAAAGUCCGAACUGAUGAAGGAAGGGGUUACGAUGUCUCUGCUCCGGCGCUCAUGGAGUUCUUGAUGCAGCUGUGCAACAGUAGAACGCUCAUAGAGGAAGUGAAUGACAGUGACGUACCCAUGGAGCCUUUGCAUUAUCCUGUUUUGUCAGCGGCGGCUGGCGAGGUGCCGGCGACGAGUGCUUCCAGUGUGGAGGCGCGGAUCUGUGCAGCGGUGGCUGUAACACCAGGAGGGAGUGCAGAUAGGCCGCAAGUAUCUGAACACUCGAUAGAGCAAACUGAUCCACAGACGCCCGGCUAG